AUACGUAGGGAGCGAGCGUUGUCCGGAUUUACUGGGCGUAAAGGGCGCGUAGGCGGGUAAAUAAGUCAGAUGUGAAAACUAUGGGCUCAACCCAUAGCCUGCAUUUGAAACUGUAUAUCUUGAGGGCAGGAGAGGAAAGUGGAAUUCCUAGUGUAGCGGUGAAAUGCGUAGAUAUUAGGAGGAACACCAGUGGCGAAGGCGACUUUCUGGACUGAACCUGACGCUGAAGCGCGAAAGCAUGGGGAGUAAACAGGAUUAGAUACCCUGGUAGUCCAUGCCGUAAACGAUGAAUACUAGGUGUAGGGGGUAUCGACCCCCUCUGUGCCGCAGUUAACACAAUAAGUAUUCCGCCUGGGGAGUACGGCCGCAAGGUUGAAACUCAAAUGAAUGGACGGGG
This 397-nucleotide ribosomal RNA is filed under the name uncultured bacterium. Its description in RNAcentral is "partial 16S ribosomal RNA". It matches the Rfam family "Bacterial small subunit ribosomal RNA", at positions 523 to 918 of the family's 1533-position model. The record is from RNAcentral.